This is a non-coding RNA of Chelonoidis abingdonii (Abingdon island giant tortoise), 121 nucleotides long. NCBI's taxonomy places the organism in Eukaryota, Metazoa, Chordata, Testudines, Testudinidae. The record is from RefSeq and is a predicted model, not a curated record.
AUAGUUCUCUGAAGAUGUCCAUGCAGUGUGCAGAGAAUAAAACUGAGACUAUAUUAUUGCCCUUUUAUAAAUCCAUGGUACGCCCACAUCUCGAAUACUGUGUACAGAUGUGGUCUCCUCA